This 107-nucleotide small nuclear RNA is filed under the name Tursiops truncatus (common bottlenose dolphin). The record is from RNAcentral. Lineage: Eukaryota; Metazoa; Chordata; Mammalia; Artiodactyla; Delphinidae.
GUCCUCACUUUGUCAGCACAUAUACUAAAAUUGGAAUGAUACAGAGAAGACUAGCACGGCCCCUGUGCAAGGAUGACGUGCAAAUUCAUGAAGCGUUCCAUAGUUUU